Molecule: ribosomal RNA, 625 nt
Filed under: Flavobacterium sp. N28
Lineage: Bacteria; Pseudomonadati; Bacteroidota; Flavobacteriia; Flavobacteriales; Flavobacteriaceae
Description: bacterial SSU rRNA
Rfam family: Bacterial small subunit ribosomal RNA
Source: RNAcentral
CUUAACACAUGCAAGUCGAGGGGUAUUGGUUUUCGGACCAAGAGACCGGCGCACGGGUGCGUAACGCGUAUGCAAUCUACCUUUUGCAGAGGGAUAGCCCAGAGAAAUUUGGAUUAAUACCUCAUAGUAUAGCAGUUUCGCAUGAGACCACUAUUAAAGUCACAACGGCAAAAGAUGAGCAUGCGUCCCAUUAGCUAGUUGGUAAGGUAACGGCUUACCAAGGCAACGAUGGGUAGGGGUCCUGAGAGGGAGAUCCCCCACACUGGUACUGAGACACGGACCAGACUCCUACGGGAGGCAGCAGUGAGGAAUAUUGGACAAUGGGCGCAAGCCUGAUCCAGCCAUGCCGCGUGCAGGAUGACGGUCCUAUGGAUUGUAAACUGCUUUUGUACAGGAAGAAACACCUCUACGUGUAGAGAUUUGACGGUACUGUAAGAAUAAGGAUCGGCUAACUCCGUGCCAGCAGCCGCGGUAAUACGGAGGAUCCAAGCGUUAUCCGGAAUCAUUGGGUUUAAAGGGUCCGUAGGCGGUUUAGUAAGUCAGUGGUGAAAGCCCAUCGCUCAACGGUGGAACGGCCAUUGAUACUGCUAGACUUGAAUUAUUAGGAAGUAACUAGAAUAUGUAG